AUUGAACGCUGGCGGAAUGCUUUACACAUGCAAGUCGAACGGUAGAGGGGGCAACCCCUCGAGAGUGACGAACGGGUGAGUAAUAUAUCGGAACGUGCCCAGUCGUGGGGGAUAACGUAGCGAAAGUUACGCUAAUACCGCAUACGAUCUAAGGAUGAAAGCGGGGGAUCGCAAGACCUCGCGCGAUUGGAGCGGCCGAUAUCAGAUUAGGUAGUUGGUGGGGUAAAGGCUCACCAAGCCAACGAUCUGUAGCUGGUCUGAGAGGACGACCAGCCACACUGGAACUGAGACACGGUCCAGACUCCUACGGGAGGCAGCAGUGGGGAAUUUUGGACAAUGGACGCAAGUCUGAUCCAGCCACUCCGCGUGCAGGAUGAAGGCCCUCGGGUUGUAAACUGCUUUUGUACGGGACGAAAAGGUCUCUCUUAAUACGGGGGGCUCAUGACGGUACCGUAAGAAUAAGCACCGGCUAACUACGUGCCAGCAGCCGCGGUAA
This 496-nucleotide ribosomal RNA is filed under the name uncultured bacterium. RNAcentral describes it as "partial 16S ribosomal RNA". It matches the Rfam family "Bacterial small subunit ribosomal RNA", at positions 30 to 523 of the family's 1533-position model. The record is from RNAcentral.